CAACUGACUAGGUAUCCCCCUUUCCCUAUACAACUGACUAGGUAUCCCCCUUUCCCUAUACAACUGACUAGGUCUCCCCCUUUCCCUUAUCAGGGAUCUAACGUGUAGUUCUUCAAAGGGACAUCUGGGUAGAUAGUAGAAUACAGCUUGGCGUACUGUAUGUUUUAAUAUAUUAUGUGUAUGACAUUUAGCAGACACUUUUCCAAAGCAACAUACAUUUCUACGUAUGGGUGGACCUGGGAAUCGAACCCACAAUCCUACUGUUGCAAUCGACAUGCUCUGUCAACUGAGCCAUACAGAACCAGCUUGUUAUAUUGUAGGUUCAGACAGGACCAGUUUGUUAUAAUGUAGGUUCAGACAGGACCAGUUUGUUAUAAUGUAGGUUCAGACAGGACCAGUUUGUUAUAUUGUAGGUUCAGACAGGACCAGUUUGUUAUAUUGUAGGUUCAGACAGGACCAGUUUGUUAUAUUGUAGGUUCAGACAGGACCAGUUUGUUAUAAUGUAGGUUCAUACAGGACCAGUUUGUUAUCGUUUUGGUUCAUGCCUUUUUGUUCAUACAUAGAUGUGUACAAGUAGUGUGUGUGUGUGUGUGUUCGGGUGUCAGGAAAUUGAGCUCAGCAGGGCUCUGCGUGCCAGUCCUCAGUCCUAGCCUGUGGCUGGUGUCCUGGUGUCAGCAGCAGGAGGAAAUCCUCUGACAGAUCAGCUCCCUGCAGCAGGGAAGAGGCCAGGCCACAGGGUGUGUGUAUGUGUGUGUGUGUGUUGACAGAUCAGCUCUCUGAAGCAGGGAAGAGGCCAGGCCACAGGGUGUGUGUAUGUGUGUGUGUGUGUUGACAGAUCAGCUCUCUGAAGCAGGGAAGAGGGAAGA
Molecule: long non-coding RNA, 866 nt
Organism: Oncorhynchus tshawytscha (Chinook salmon)
Lineage: Eukaryota; Metazoa; Chordata; Actinopteri; Salmoniformes; Salmonidae
Source: Ensembl